This is a long non-coding RNA of Spinacia oleracea (spinach), 1912 nucleotides long. RefSeq lists it as uncharacterized. NCBI's taxonomy places the organism in Eukaryota, Viridiplantae, Streptophyta, Magnoliopsida, Caryophyllales, Amaranthaceae. The record is from RefSeq and is a predicted model, not a curated record. The transcript is spliced from 3 exons.
CUUCCUCUCCAUUACCCUAAUUUUUGUGCACUCUCUCCCCUAAAUCUAUGGUUAUGUUGUUUUUUUCAUUUUGUUUUUUUUUUAUUUUGUAGAGUCAUUAUUCAUUCGAUUAGCAAAUACUUUGAUCCCCAAUUUAAUUUAAACAAAACCACUCCUAAAAAUCUUGAUCUGUUCGUCGUAUUUUUCUUUGUUCUUCAUGUUCUUCGUUCUGGGUUUGAUUUUUCUGGAGUUUUGGGUUUGUGUUUUCUGAGGUUUCGAGUUUUUAUUGUAGAUCUUAUCAUUUUUUCUAAGGUUGUUUUGAUCCGGGUUUUUCGAAUAUUUGUGAGUUCGUGUUUGUGUUGAUCUGGGUAAUUGUUGAUAUGGGUUCUUGGUUUACGUUGUUCGUUGUCUGUUUCGUGUUCAUCAAAUUCUGGAUUUUCUGGGUUUAAAAUUGUAAUACCCCGAAAUUUUUAAACUCGAUUUAUUAAAAUGAAUUAUAUUUAUUAGCUUGAUUUCGUUUUAAAUAAUUACGAAUAAUCGAAUUUCGUUAUUUUGAACCUUUUUACGAUUUAUUUUAAACGAUAAAUUUAUAAACGAAAAUUUAUUUAUUUUUCGUUAACAAUAAUUUUUAUAAAGAAUUAUUUUAAUUAAACAUUUCUAUCUUUUAGUAAUUUCCAAAAAUAGCAACAAUUACUGAAUUUUUGUCCAAAUAUUGUGAAAUUACGAAAAUGCCCUCAAGGAACCAAAAUUCAAUUUUGCUCUCUUCCCUUGCUUUCCACGUACAAAGCAGGAAGUGAAGACUUCCUUCCUUCCCACAAUUCAGUCCAAAGUCAUAUACUUGGACCCCAAGCACACCUCCUUGUUCUUCACUCUUCCCAAUUACAAAUUCAGAAUUUUUGGAUGGAAUUUCAACAACAAACCAAAUACAAUUCCAAUUUCAAUCUCAAUUUUCUGUGAUUCAAACCCACCACCACCAUCAACCACCGCCUGCCACCACUGUAGCCACCACCGUCCACCACCAUUCUCACCAUCACCCAACACCACCUAACCACCACUCACCACCGAGCACCACCACUCCACCAUGUCUCCCCUCCCCUGCCCUCUUCUCCCACGUCGCAACUCCCCUGCCCCUUUCCCCUUUUCUCUUCGCCGCACCACCACCAUCACUCUCUACCACCGCCCACCAUCACCUCCAGCCACCUGCAUCAUCUCACCAACCAACCCUUCCCCAGAUUCCGGCGAGCCGCCGUCCAGGACCAACCGAAAAGCCUCACAAAACUCCCCUGUGUUUCGCCCCAACCGUGCCCCUUUCUCCCCUUUUCUCGUCGUUCGGCCACCCCAGACCAACCACCAGCACCGGCGUAACCCUUCUGCGACGCCCAGCCAUCCGCCGCUCCUUCUACUCGCAGCUCUCCUUCCCCUUCGUGCCUCCCCUGUUUCGGCCCCCUCCCCUGCUCUUGACCCCUUUCCCAGGAAACCGAAACAAAAAAAAUAAAAAAUAUAAAAGAAAGAGAGAAACCCAAUUCUUAUUUUUUUAAGCCUUGAUUUUUAUUUUCCCUCAAACCCAAUUUCAGAUUGGGCCAUUUCUUAAUUUGGGCUUUUUGGAAAUUGGACUCGGAGCUCAGGACGAACGAACCAAGGAAAAUCCCUAGCAAAUCGCGGAGUUAGGUACUGUUGGGAAAGAUGGAAACGAGUAGUGGCGAGGAUUUCACUUUAAUAAUAUUCACCUAGUUAAUGUUCUAAGUUUUGAUAGUUAAUUACAGGCUUUUUAGCAAGUUAUGUACUUUUACUUUGGGAAUAUAAAGGAUUAUUAUAUUAACUUUUGGGAUUUGAUAACUUAUUAUUGAUGGUUGCCUUGAAAUUCCCAAGAAGGAGUUACGGCAGGUAAUGUCCCGACCAAAUUAGGUUAUUUUCGCUGCUAAUUAUGCUUUAA